UACGUAGGGGGCUAGCGUUGUCCGGAAUCAUUGGGCGUAAAGCGCGUGUAGGCGGCCCGGUAAGUCCGCUGUGAAAGUCGGGGGCUCAACCCUCGGAUGCCGGUGGAUACUGUCGGGCUCGAGUACGGAAGAGGCGAGUGGAAUUCCUGGUGUAGCGGUGAAAUGCGCAGAUAUCAGGAGGAACACCAAUUGCGAAGGCGCCACUCUGGGCCGAAACUGACGCUGAGGAGCGAAAGCGUGGGUAGCAAACAGG
This 253-nucleotide ribosomal RNA is filed under the name uncultured bacterium. RNAcentral's name for it is "partial 16S ribosomal RNA". It matches the Rfam family "Bacterial small subunit ribosomal RNA", at positions 524 to 776 of the family's 1533-position model. The record is from RNAcentral.